GUGGGUAGUUUGACUGGGGCGGUCUCCUCCUAAAGAGUAACGGAGGAGCACGAAGGUUGGCUAAUCCUGGUCGGACAUCAGGAGGUUAGUGCAAUGGCAUAAGCCAGCUUGACUGCGAGCGUGACGGCGCGAGCAGGUGCGAAAGCAGGUCAUAGUGAUCCGGUGGUUCUGAAUGGAAGGGCCAUCGCUCAACGGAUAAAAGGUACUCCGGGGAUAACAGGCUGAUACCGCCCAAGAGUUCAUAUCGACGGCGGUGUUUGGCACCUCGAUGUCGGCUCAUCACAUCCUGGGGCUGAAGUAGGUCCCAAGGGUAUGGCUGUUCGCCAUUUAAAGUGGUACGCGAGCUGGGUUUAGAACGUCGUGAGACAGUUCGGUCCCUAUCUGCCGUGGGCGCUGGAGAACUGAGGGGGGCUGCUCCUAGUACGAGAGGACCGGAGUGGACGCAUCACUGGUGUUCGGGUUGUCAUGCCAAUGGCACUGCCCGGUAGCUAAAUGCGGAAGAGAUAAGUGCUGAAAGCAUCUAAGCACGAAACUUGCCCCGAGAUGAGUUCUCCCUGAGACUUAGAGUCUCCUGAAGGAACGUUGAAGACGACGACGUUGAUAGGCCGGGUGUGUAAGCGCAGCGAUGCGUU
RNAcentral lists this ribosomal RNA (632 nucleotides) under Salmonella enterica subsp. enterica serovar Saintpaul. RNAcentral's name for it is "partial 23S ribosomal RNA". It matches the Rfam family "Bacterial large subunit ribosomal RNA", at positions 2261 to 2887 of the family's 2925-position model. RNAcentral also lists the same sequence under 2 other names. Lineage: Bacteria; Pseudomonadati; Pseudomonadota; Gammaproteobacteria; Enterobacterales; Enterobacteriaceae. The record is from RNAcentral.